CUACGGGGUGCUGCAGUGAGGAAUAUUGCACAAUGGGGGGAACCCUGAUGCAGCAACGCCGCGUGGAGGAUGACGCAUUUCGGUGUGUAAACUCCUUUUAUAUGUCAAGAAAAUGACGGUAGCAUAUGAAUAAGCACCGGCUAACUCCGUGCCAGCAGCCGCGGUAAUACGGAGGGUGCAAGCGUUACUCGGAAUCACUGGGUGUAAAGGACGCGUAGGCGGGUUGGAAAGUCAGGUGUGAAAUCCUACAGCUUAACUGGAGAACUGCACUUGAAACUUCUAAUCUAGAGUAUGGGAGGGGGAGAUGGAAUUAGUGGUGUAGGGGUAAAAUCCGUAGAUAUCACUAGGAAUACCUAAAGCGAAGGCGAUCUCCUGGAACAUUACUGACGCUAAGGCGUGAAAGCGUGGGGAGCAAACAGGAUUAGAUACCCUUGUAGUC
This 439-nucleotide ribosomal RNA is filed under the name uncultured bacterium. RNAcentral describes it as "partial 16S ribosomal RNA". It matches the Rfam family "Bacterial small subunit ribosomal RNA", at positions 339 to 795 of the family's 1533-position model. The record is from RNAcentral.